RNAcentral lists this ribosomal RNA (279 nucleotides) under uncultured bacterium. RNAcentral's name for it is "partial 16S ribosomal RNA". It matches the Rfam family "Bacterial small subunit ribosomal RNA", at positions 506 to 784 of the family's 1533-position model. The record is from RNAcentral.
UGCCAGCAGCCGCGGUAAUACGGAGGGUCCAAGCGUUAUCCGGAUUUAUUGGGUUUAAAGGGCGCGCAGGCGGUCUUGUCGGUCAGGUGUGAAAGCCCGGGGCUCAACCCCGGACGUGCAUUUGAAACAGCAAGACUUGAGUACGGGAGAGGAGAGGGGAAUUCCUGGUGUAGAGGUGAAAUUCGUAGAUAUCAGGAGGAACACCGAUGGCGAAGGCAUCUCUCUGGGCCGAUAUUGACGCUGAGGCGCGAAGGCGUGGGUAGCGAACGGGAUUAGAUA